RNAcentral lists this ribosomal RNA (492 nucleotides) under uncultured bacterium. RNAcentral's name for it is "partial 16S ribosomal RNA". It matches the Rfam family "Bacterial small subunit ribosomal RNA", at positions 29 to 507 of the family's 1533-position model. The record is from RNAcentral.
AGUGAACGCUGGCGGUAGGCCUAACACAUGCAAGUCGAACGGCAGCACAGUAAUAGCUUGCUCUUACGGGUGGCGAGUGGCGGACGGGUGAGGAAUACAUCGGAAUCUACUUUUUCGUGGGGGAUAACGUAGGUAAACUUACUCUAAUACCGCAUACGCCCUACGGGUGAAAGCAGUGGAUCUUCGGACCUUUCGCGAUUGGAUUAGCCGAUGUCGGAUUAGCUAGUUGGCGGGGUAAAGGCCCACCAAGGCGACGAUCCGUAGCUGGUCUGAGAGGAUGGUAAGCCACACUGGAGCUGAGACACGGUCCAGAGUCCUACGGGAGGCAGCAGUGGGGAAUAUGGGACAAUGGGCGCAAGCCUGAUCCAGCCAUACCGCGUGGGUGAAGAAGGCCUUCGGGUUGUAAAGCCCGUUUGUUGGGAAAGAAAAGCAGCAGGUUAAUACCCAGCUGUUCUGACGGUACCCAAAGAAUAAGCACCGGCUAACUUCGUG